RNAcentral lists this ribosomal RNA (497 nucleotides) under uncultured bacterium. RNAcentral's name for it is "partial 16S ribosomal RNA". It matches the Rfam family "Bacterial small subunit ribosomal RNA", at positions 28 to 507 of the family's 1533-position model. The record is from RNAcentral.
GAUGAACGCUGGCGGCGUGCCUAAUACAUGCAAGUCGAGCGAACGGACGAGAAGCUUGCUUCUCUGAUGUUAGCGGCGGACGUGUGAGUAAAACGUGGUUAACCUACCUAUAAGACUGGGAUAACUUCGGGAAACCGGAGCUAAUACCGGAUAAUAUUUUGAACCGCAUGGUUCAAAAGUUAAAGACGUUCUUGCUGUCACCUAUACAUGUAUCCGCGCUGCAUUAGCUAGUUGGUAAGGUAACGGCUUACCAAGGCAACAAUGCCUAGCCGACCGGUGAAGGUGAUCGGGCACACUGGAACUGAGACACGGUCCAGAGUCCUACGGGAGGCAGCGGUAGCGACUCUUCCGCAAUGGGGGAAAGCCUGAAGGAGCAACGCCGCGUGAAUGAUGAAGGUCUUCGGAUCGUAAAACUCUGUUAUUAGGGAAGAACAUAUGUAUAAGUAACUGUGCACAUCUUGACGGUACCUAAACAGAAAGCCCCGGCUAACUACGUG